This 715-nucleotide ribosomal RNA is filed under the name soil bacterium Trim-S2R-M1LLLSSL-1. Its description in RNAcentral is "bacterial SSU rRNA". It matches the Rfam family "Bacterial small subunit ribosomal RNA", at positions 90 to 801 of the family's 1533-position model. The record is from RNAcentral.
UGAGAGCGGCGGACGGGUGAGUAAUGCCUAGGAAUCUGCCUGGUAGUGGGGGAUAACGUUCGGAAACGGACGCUAAUACCGCAUACGUCCUACGGGAGAAAGCAGGGGACCUUCGGGCCUUGCGCUAUCAGAUGAGCCUAGGUCGGAUUAGCUAGUUGGUGGGGUAAUGGCUCACCAAGGCGACGAUCCGUAACUGGUCUGAGAGGAUGAUCAGUCACACUGGAACUGAGACACGGUCCAGACUCCUACGGGAGGCAGCAGUGGGGAAUAUUGGACAAUGGGCGAAAGCCUGAUCCAGCCAUGCCGCGUGUGUGAAGAAGGUCUUCGGAUUGUAAAGCACUUUAAGUUGGGAGGAAGGGCAGUUGCCUAAUACGUAACUGUUUUGACGUUACCGACAGAAUAAGCACCGGCUAACUCUGUGCCAGCAGCCGCGGUAAUACAGAGGGUGCAAGCGUUAAUCGGAAUUACUGGGCGUAAAGCGCGCGUAGGUGGUUUGUUAAGUUGGAUGUGAAAUCCCCGGGCUCAACCUGGGAACUGCAUUCAAAACUGACUGACUAGAGUAUGGUAGAGGGUGGUGGAAUUUCCUGUGUAGCGGUGAAAUGCGUAGAUAUAGGAAGGAACACCAGUGGCGAAGGCGACCACCUGGACUGAUACUGACACUGACGUGCGAAAGCGUGGGGAGCAAACAGGAUUAGAUACCCUGGUAGUCCACGCC